This 589-nucleotide ribosomal RNA is filed under the name uncultured bacterium. RNAcentral describes it as "partial 16S ribosomal RNA". It matches the Rfam family "Bacterial small subunit ribosomal RNA", at positions 355 to 941 of the family's 1533-position model. The record is from RNAcentral.
UGGGGAAUCUUCCGCAAUGGACGAAAGUCUGACGGAGCAACGCCGCGUGAGUGAAGAAGGUUUUCGGAUCGUAAAACUCUGUCUUUUGGGGCGAACGUGAGUAUGGUGAACAAUCAUAGUCAGUGACGGUACCAAAGGAGGAAGCCACGGCUAACUACGUGCCAGCAGCCGCGGUAAUACGUAGGUGGCAAGCGUUGUCCGGAAUUAUUGGGCGUAAAGAGCGCGUAGGCGGGAUAGUCAGUCUGUUGUAAAGUGCGGGGCUCAACCCCGUGAUGGCAAUGGAAACAGCUAUUCUUGAGUGCAGGAGAGGAAAGUGGAAUUCCCAGUGUAGCGGUGAAAUGCGUAGAUAUUGGGAGGAACACCAGUGGCGAAGGCGACUUUCUGGACUGUGUCUGACGCUGAGGCGCGAAAGCCAGGGGAGCGAACGGGAUUAGAUACCCCGGUAGUCCUGGCCGUAAACGAUGGGUACUAGGUGUGGGAGGUAUCGACCCCUUCCGUGCCGGAGUUAACGCAAUAAGUACCCCGCCUGGGGAGUACGGUCGCAAGACUGAAACUUAAAUGAAUUGACGGGGGUCAUAGCUGUUUCCUG